This is a long non-coding RNA of Xenia sp. Carnegie-2017, 905 nucleotides long. RefSeq lists it as uncharacterized. NCBI's taxonomy places the organism in Eukaryota, Metazoa, Cnidaria, Anthozoa, Malacalcyonacea, Xeniidae. The transcript is spliced from 3 exons. The record is from RefSeq and is a predicted model, not a curated record.
AAAUUGCUGACUUGAAAUCGACACAACGUGGCAUAAAACUAUGAGCAUGCGUAGUAUUGCAAUUCAUUAGGUAAUCAUACUUUAUCAUUAAUUUAAUCGCAAACUAAUGAGGCAGCAAUUAUAAUAAUUAUAAUAAUUGCUGUCAAUAAUACUGUUGUCUAUUUUACGCAACAGACCCAUACUUAUAAAUACUUCUAUGUUUUAAUUCAAAAAAAAGCUUUGCUCUUAAAGAUUUUAUGAAAUUUUUUAACAUCAUUUAUCAUUUUAGAUUUCUUCCGUGUUAUCACAAAAUCUGGAGUAAACCAAACGAACUAUUGACUUUCAUGCAUUGGUAAAAAUUUGUAUUCAUUUCACAUGGAUGAAACUGCUUGGGCGUAAGAUCAAAGUAAUAUUUGGUAACUGAGUUAUUCAACGGAGUCACCGAAGUUUUGGGAAAGUAAUGUUGUGCCAAAAUAAAGCAAGACUUUCCGUCUGAAGAAAAUUUAAGCUCUUAUGAUUUCAUCUUGCUAAAUUUUGUCUGAUUUCUUUGAUACUAUUCUCUCGAAUGUAUAUAUGAUCAUCAAUCAUUAUUUAAUGGCGACAUGUAUUGCUAUACUGGGCAUGCAUGCAUAAACGCUACGGUGAAGGAACUUCCUUUUUCAAAAAAAAAACAUUCGUGUGCAUAGCGGUAAUGAGGUUUUUUUGACGCUCUCCGGCUCUUGGCGGUCGCCAAGCCAUGUUUUUGGCCAUCAUCAAGCUACGCACGUAUUUUAACAACCGGAAACAAACAAAGAAAUUGAGAGGUUGUUGAUGGAAAGACGAUUACAUAUAAGUGUGAUCUAGCUGGACUAUCGGUUUAAUAAGCACAUCGAAACUUCACAGAACAUCGUUUGUACUUUGGGGAAAGAGUCAUAUGAUUCAGUUUG